UACAGAGGGGGCAAGCGUUGUUCGGAAUCACUGGGCGUAAAGCGCACGUAGGCGGAUCUUUAAGGCAGGGGUGAAAUCCUGGAGCUCAACUCCAGAACUGCCUUUGAUACUGGGGAUCUCGAGUCCGGAAGAGGUGAGUGGAACUCCGAGUGUAGAGGUGAAAUUCGUAGAUAUUCGCAAGAACACCAGUGGCGAAGGCGGCUCACUGGCCCGAUACUGACGCUGAGGCACGAAAGCGUGGGGAGCAAACAGG
RNAcentral lists this ribosomal RNA (253 nucleotides) under uncultured bacterium. RNAcentral's name for it is "partial 16S ribosomal RNA". It matches the Rfam family "Bacterial small subunit ribosomal RNA", at positions 524 to 776 of the family's 1533-position model. The record is from RNAcentral.